GACGAACGCUGGCGGCGUGCUUAACACAUGCAAGUCGAGCGGUAAGGCCCUUUCGGGGGUACACGAGCGGCGAACGGGUGAGUAACACGUGGGUGACCUGCCCUCAGCUCUGGGAUAAGCCUGGGAAACCGGGUCUAAUACUGGAUAUGACUCCAUGACGCAUGUUGUGGGGUGGAAAGCCUUGUGCGGCUGAGGAUGGGCCCGCGGCCUAUCAGCUUGUUGGUGGGGUGANGGCCUACCAAGGCGACGACGGGUAGCCGGCCUGGGAGGGCGACCGGCCACACUGGGACUGAGACACGGCCCAGACUCCUACGGGAGGCAGCAGUGGGGAAUCUUGCGCAAUGGGCGAAAGCCUGGCGGAGUGACGCCGCGUGUGGGAUGAAGGCCUCGGUC
RNAcentral lists this ribosomal RNA (393 nucleotides) under uncultured bacterium. RNAcentral's name for it is "bacterial SSU rRNA". It matches the Rfam family "Bacterial small subunit ribosomal RNA", at positions 28 to 424 of the family's 1533-position model. The record is from RNAcentral.